Hibiscus syriacus is the source of this 264-nucleotide long non-coding RNA. RefSeq lists it as uncharacterized. NCBI's taxonomy places the organism in Eukaryota, Viridiplantae, Streptophyta, Magnoliopsida, Malvales, Malvaceae. The record is from RefSeq and is a predicted model, not a curated record. The transcript is spliced from 2 exons.
UUGACCUUUUGAUAGAUUUAUUCUGCUCAAAGGUUGUUUUUUUUACCAUUGUAAAUUAUCGAUGAUCAUUUCGUUUUAUACUGAAAUAGUUGAUUUCGACUAUCUAUGAGGAUUUUGGAGGGGAACCGAGUGGCAUGUGAAUUGCACGUGGCGAGGAUGCCAGAAUUGCGAAGUGGAGCUCGGAGAUCAAAACGCCUUGAUGAUCUUCAGCCGCCUCCUCAACCGGUUGAUCAAGUGGAGAAUUGGGCACUGCCUGCUCAAAAC